CAAGCCCUAGCUUGANNUUGGGGCAUGCCUACGGGCAGCUCUUAAAGUCAGUGGCAGUGCCUUCCGGCUCUAAGCGUAGUANUACUUCUCGCUAUAGGGUCUGGUGGUCCACGCGCCAGAACCUCAAACCUUCUAUGGUUGACCUCGGAUCAGGUAGGGGUACCCGCUGAACUUAAGCAUAUCAAUAAGCGGAGGAAAAGAAACCAACAGGGAUUGCCUCAGUAACGGCGAGUGAAGCGGCAAUAGCUCAAAUUUGAAAUCUGGCUCUUUCAGGGUCCGAGUUGUAAUUUGUAGAAGAUGCUUUGGGUGUGGCUCCGGUCUAAGUUCCUUGGGACAGGACGUCGUAGAGGGUGAGAAUCCCGUAUGUGACUAGCCGCCUUCGCCCGUGUAAAGCUCUUUCGACGAGUCGAGUUGUUCGGGAAUGCAGCUCAAAAUGGGUGGUAAAUUUCAUCUAAAGCUAAAUAUUGGCCAGAGACCGAUAGCGCACAAGUAGAGUGAUCGAAAGGUGAAAAGCACUUUGGAAAGAGAGUUAAACAGUACGUGAAAUUGUUGAAAGGGAAGCGCUUGCAACCAGACUUGCGCGCGGUUGAUCAUCCGGUGUUCUCACCGGUGCACUCUGCCGUGCUCAGGCCAGCAUCGGUUUUGGUGGUUGGAUAAAGACCUUAGGAACGUAGCUUCUCUCGGGGAGUGUUAUAGCCUUCGGUGCAAUGCAGCCUACCGGGACCGAGGACCGCGCUUCGGCUAGGAUGCUGGCGUAAUGGUUGUAAGCGACC
Molecule: ribosomal RNA, 773 nt
Filed under: uncultured fungus
Lineage: Eukaryota; Fungi
Description: eukaryotic LSU rRNA
Rfam family: Eukaryotic large subunit ribosomal RNA (bases 140-773)
Source: RNAcentral